AUUGAACGCUGGCGGCAUGCCUAACACAUGCAAGUCGAGCGGAUGAAGGGAGCUUGCUCCUGGAUUCAGCGGCGGACGGGUGAGUAAUGCCCAUAAAUCUGCCUCGUAGUGGGGGAUGACGUCCGGAUACGGGCGCUAAUACCGCCUACGUCCUGAGGGAGAAAGUGGGUGAUCUUCGGACCUCACGCUAUCAGCUGAGUGUAGGUCGGAUUAGCUAGUUGGUGGGGUAAAGGCCUACCAAGGCGACGAUCCGUAACUGGUCUGAGAGGAUGAUCAGUCACACUGGAACUGAGACACGGUACAGACUCAUACGGGAGGGAGCAGUGGGGAAUAUUGGACAAGGGGCGAGAGCCUGAUCUAGCCAUGCCGCGUGUGGGAAGAAGGUCUUCGGAUGGGAAAGCACUUUAAGUUGGGAGGAAGGGCAGUAAGUUUAUACCUUGCUGUUUUGACGUUACCAACAGAAUAAGCACCGGCUAACUUCGUG
This 484-nucleotide ribosomal RNA is filed under the name uncultured bacterium. RNAcentral describes it as "partial 16S ribosomal RNA". It matches the Rfam family "Bacterial small subunit ribosomal RNA", at positions 30 to 507 of the family's 1533-position model. The record is from RNAcentral.